This is a long non-coding RNA of Solenopsis invicta (red fire ant), 2259 nucleotides long. RefSeq lists it as uncharacterized. The transcript is spliced from 3 exons. The record is from RefSeq and is a predicted model, not a curated record. Lineage: Eukaryota; Metazoa; Arthropoda; Insecta; Hymenoptera; Formicidae.
UACCGACCUCUGCCGGGAACCGGGAAGGCGUAAGGAGGACGAAGAAUGGAACGUGAGGAGGGAAACACCAUCCACUGGGGUCUAGUGCCUCCGUACCGAAAUACACCGGUCCGCGUAGGUCCAUGUCUAUAGUUUAUUCGGGCGACAGAGAGCGGAAGAGUGGGACGCGAGGUUUGGUGCGGGGUAAAGGGGGAUUGGACGACUCCGGGUUAAAGUGGCGUCGCGUGUACAACCGCACCGGCGGCGGAAUAUACAGCACUGCGACAGAACGGACGGAGCGUUCCGCUCCACGCCGUACCGUUCUUUCGCUCCGUUCUUUCUCACCAACUCGUCUCGCAGUCGCGUGCGCGUCGCUAUUUUUCCUCCGAGUUUCGAGGGAUUACACACUCCUGCUCUCUUAUGUGGCCCAUCUCCUUUGUCUCCGUCAAGUGCCGCGGAUUCAUUCGCGAUUAUGCAGUGUGUCAAGCGUCAAAGAACAUCGAACCGCUUCCCGUUUCUGCUUUAACGCUUAAGAGAGACCAUUUUCUAUUAUGUCGUACAUAAUGGAAAAUGCGCCGCUUUUAUUUUGUCCGUUCAUUAUUCACUAUUUGUAUAAAAUGUCCGCAUUUACAUGGUAAAGAAGAUAUUUACUACCCGAAAAGAGAGAGAGACCAAAAAAAUCAAAGACAGUUGCUCCAAAUUUAUGAGAAGGUGGCAAAGUUUCGCAAACGAUGCGGCGUGAUCCACGGUGCAGACGGCGAGGGAUACGGCUUGGAAACUUUGUGCAAGAAAUUCGAUCUCAUCUCGCAACAUCGAUUCCAUCGAUCGCGUGGCGAUCGCGAUUGGUUAGCCAAUGGAUAGUAAAGAGAGGACGAUCGCCCUUCGUAUCAUCCUAUCGAUUCAGCCGAACAGUCCUGACAGGUGACAGCGGAAGAAGAAUAUCCCGGGGGCGCGUGUCGUGCGAGGCGUCGUCGUUUUAAUACAACUUUCGAUUGGCACCCUCGGACCGGACCUUCAGCGAAUCCGAUACCAGCAGCCGAAGACGAGGGGUAGUAAAUCAGUCGAGAGUGCAACUCGAGGGUUGGCCGCCCAGGACAACACGUACCUGCCAUCUAUAUUCGUGCACACCGUUCUCCAAAGCAGCCCCUCCUCGCACCCCCCCCCAGUAACUCGACGUCUCGACGCCGCAACCACUACCCUGUAACCGGCAUGAGGAGACCCUGCCUCUUGUAACCCCGUCCCUGUUCGUGUUACCCUUCCCGUUGGAGAGGCACGAUACACCUUGUCGUAGACUCUGAGAUUUAUACUCGCGCGAAAUCGAGUCCCGAUACCGAUCGUAUCUGACGCGAACGACGUCAACGGCGCCCGAUGCGUUUCCACGUUCCCACGUGCAAAAGCUUUAGCAUGACAUCGACAACGAGACGGUCCCUUUUGAGAGUUUGUUUCGAAUGGAUAAAAAAGUGAUCAAAACACUGACAACUCAUUACGUAUCCUUUCAGAUUUUUACAACUGCAAUAUCAUCGUUGCAUCAGUGACGCAAUCGAUAUUUCAACGCGCAGAAUUGCGUUUCACGUAGUAAUGCGUCGACCAUGAGCUCGCGAGCGAUGACUAUAUCGAGUGGUAUAAAAAGCACCUGUGUUUCGUCGCAUGCAAAAAAGGCAAAGGCAAAUUUUGUUAACGCCGUGGCACAUAACUUUCUGCGCACAAAAUUUAGCACAGCUUUCCAUUAACGCGAGCAAAGCGUACUUUCCUAAAAAGCGUAUCUGGCUCUCAUCUACGAAAGUAGAGAUCCGAUCGCAUAAUAGUUCUCACUGCUUUUCAUGAUUAAAAUACUAGUUUUUCCACUUGAUUCGCAUGAUACAUUAUCUCUGCGUUCGACUAAUAUCUUGCAUUGAACAUGACGAAAAAGCUAUGCCGUUUAUAUCAAAUCUAUAAAGCGGACCCCUCUCUCUCCAGAUAAAAUUUUUGAUAGAGUUUUCAAAAUUAAAAAUAUUUUAACAACAAUUUUUUUUUAAUAAUUGCUAGUCACAUGCAGAAAGGAAACAAAUGACAAGUAUUGUCGACACGAAAAAAAAAAACUGUACGGACAAAUAUAUUAAUACGCGCGAGAAGUAAUAAAAACCGCGCACAACAAUAAAUAUAACAGGUUUUUUUUCGUAAAUUCAAUUAAUCCAUUGCGUGGGUAUAUGCGGUUUAACGCGUGCUUUAAAAAUAAUUUACCCCAGGCGCGCCCAAAUCCAACGUCAUGUAACUUUAAAUUAAAAAAUGUACAAAAAGCAA